RNAcentral lists this transfer RNA (77 nucleotides) under Planctomycetota bacterium. RNAcentral's name for it is "tRNA-Ile". It matches the Rfam family "tRNA". Rfam says of the family: Transfer RNA (tRNA) molecules are approximately 80 nucleotides in length. Their secondary structure includes four short double-helical elements and three loops (D, anti-codon, and T loops). Further hydrogen bonds mediate the characteristic L-shaped molecular structure. tRNAs have two regions of fundamental functional importance: the anti-codon, which is responsible for specific mRNA codon recognition, and the 3' end, to which the tRNAs corresponding amino acid is attached (by aminoacyl-tRNA synthetases). tRNAs cope with the degeneracy of the genetic code in two manners: having more than one tRNA (with a specific anti-codon) for a particular amino acid; and 'wobble' base-pairing, i.e. permitting non-standard base-pairing at the 3rd anti-codon position. Lineage: Bacteria; Pseudomonadati; Planctomycetota. RNAcentral also lists the same sequence under 1 other name. The record is from RNAcentral.
GGGCCCUUAGCUCAGUCGGUUAGAGCAGGCGACUCAUAAUCGCUUGGUCCAGGGUUCGAGUCCCUGAGGGCCCACCA